This 208-nucleotide long non-coding RNA is filed under the name Linum usitatissimum (flax). RNAcentral describes it as "long non-coding RNA (LUSI_LNC001627)". The record is from RNAcentral. Lineage: Eukaryota; Viridiplantae; Streptophyta; Magnoliopsida; Malpighiales; Linaceae.
GCGGAGGCAGAGGCGGAGGACAGGAUGAGGAUGAGGAGAAGGAACGAAGGGGAGGGAAGCGACGGUAGUAUCGUCGAGCUCCAAAGCAUAGGCGGAGCAUAAUUUUGGUACUGCUUCCCAAUUCCCCUUCCGAAAUCACAGAUUUCUUCUUCUUCUUUUUUUCCGUUCAGAUAGAUAAAUGGGGAAUUGGGAUGGUAGAAAAUGAGAG